GACGAACGCUGGCGGCGUGCCUAACACAUGCAAGUCGAGCGGAAGGGCGCGGAUUUUGUGGCGCUGACGAUUGCGGAGGAGGUGUGUAUCACGUGUGUAAACCGUCCCUAUAUGUGUGGUAUAAUCAGGGAAAAGGGGCUAAUACCGCAUAGGAGCUUCUGCACCACAGUGGUGAUUAGUAAAUGUCGGUGGUUCGGUCUGGUCUAGAGGGAUCCCCGCUUGUUUGUCUGGUUGGUAAGUUAACGGCUUACCAAGGCAACGAUGCAUAGCCGAGCUGAGGGGGUGAUCGGCCACCCUGGAACUUAGACACGGUCCAGACUCCUACGGGAGGCAGCAGUAGGGAACCUUCCGCAAUGGGCGGAAGCCUGGCGGAGCAACGCCGCGUGAGUGAUGAAGGUCUUCGGAUCGUAAAACCCUGUUAUUAGGGAAGAACAUAUGUGUAAGUAACUGUGCACAGCUUGACGGUACCUAAUCAGAAAGCCACGGCUAACUACGUG
This 497-nucleotide ribosomal RNA is filed under the name uncultured bacterium. Its description in RNAcentral is "partial 16S ribosomal RNA". It matches the Rfam family "Bacterial small subunit ribosomal RNA", at positions 28 to 507 of the family's 1533-position model. The record is from RNAcentral.